CCCGGGCAUGGUGGCAUGAGCCUGCGGUCCCAGCUACUUCGGAGGCUGAGGCAGGAGGGUUGCUCGAGCCUGGGAGUUCUGGGCUGUAGUGUGUUAGGCUGACUGGCUGUCCGCACAUCAAUAUGGUGACCUUCCAGGAGGAGCAGGGGACCACCAAGUUGCCUAAGGAGGGGUGAACCGGUCCAGGUCGGAAACGGAGCAGGUCAAAACUCCUGUGGUGAUCAAAAAGGACAGUUGCAGACAUGGGGAGGACUUGGUAGUCCCAGCUCCAGGCUGGAUCUGGGCGUGCCUUUCCUCUG
Gorilla gorilla gorilla (western lowland gorilla) is the source of this 299-nucleotide non-coding RNA. Lineage: Eukaryota; Metazoa; Chordata; Mammalia; Primates; Hominidae. The record is from Rfam.